UCCCUGUUACCAGGGCAGUCUAGCCUGAAAAAUACAACAGACUAUAAGGGUUGCGCUCGUUGAUGGACUUAACCAAACAUCUCACGACACGAGCUGACGACGGCCAUGCAUCACCUGUCACUGUGUUCCAAAAGGCACACUUUGCUUUCGCAAUGCUUCACAGGAUGUCAAGCCUGGGUAAGGUUCUUCGCUUACCAUCGAAUUAAACAACACGCUCCACCGCUUGUGCGGGUCCCCGUCAAUUCCUUUAUGUUUUAAGCUUGCGCUCGUACUCCACAGGCGGGGUGCUUAACGCGUUAGCUUCGUUACUAAGAGGGUCGAUACUCCUAACAACUAGCACCCAUCGUUUAGGGCGUGGACUAC
RNAcentral lists this unclassified non-coding RNA (363 nucleotides) under uncultured bacterium. Its description in RNAcentral is "contains 16S-23S intergenic spacer region". The record is from RNAcentral.